Molecule: long non-coding RNA, 158 nt
Organism: Haliotis rubra (blacklip abalone)
Lineage: Eukaryota; Metazoa; Mollusca; Gastropoda; Lepetellida; Haliotidae
Exons: 3
Source: RefSeq, a predicted model, not a curated record
UUGUACUAUACUGAUAUGUGUUUAUGAUACCAUACUAGUUUUAAGUUAAGAACUGUGAUUUUCUAGUAGUUUUACUGUCCUUCGAUGACAGAUUUUAAGUUUUAAAUUUACUGAUUUUAAUGUUAAUAUAUAAAUUGUCACGAUAUGGCUGAAAUAUU